CCUACGGGUGGCAGCAGUGAGGAAUAUUGGUCAAUGGACGAGAGUCUGAACCAGCCAAGUCGCGUGAAGGAUGACUGCACUAUGUGUUGUAAACUUCUUUUAUAAAGGAAUAAAACGAGGCACGUGUGCCUUUUUGCAUGUACUUUAUGACUAAGGAUCGGCUACCUCCGUGCCAGCAGCCGCGGUAAUACGGAGGAUCCGAGCGUUAUCCGGAUUUAUUGGGUUUAAAGGGAGCGGAGUUGGGUUGUUAAGUCAGUUGUGAAAGUUUGGGGCUCAACCGUAAAAUUGCAAUUGAGACUGGCAGGCUGGAGUACAGGUGAGGUAGGCGGAAUGCGUGGGGUAGCGGUGAAAUGCUUAGAUAUCACGAAGAACCCCGAUUGCGAAGGCAGCUUACUAAACUGUGACUGACAUUGAUGCUCGAAAGUGUGGGUAUCAAACAGGAUUAGAUACCCUUGUAGUC
This 460-nucleotide ribosomal RNA is filed under the name uncultured bacterium. RNAcentral's name for it is "partial 16S ribosomal RNA". It matches the Rfam family "Bacterial small subunit ribosomal RNA", at positions 338 to 795 of the family's 1533-position model. The record is from RNAcentral.